GGAUGUGAGGGCGAUCUGGCUGAGACAUCUGUCACCCCAUUGAUCGCCAGGGUUGAUUCGGCUGAUCUGGCUGGCUAGGCGGGUGUCCCCUUCCUCCCUCACCACUCCAUGUGCGUCCCUCCCGAAGCUGCGCGCUCUGUUGAAGAGGACGACCAUCCCCGAUAGAGGAGGACCAGUCUUCGGUCAAGGGUAUACGAGUAGCUGCGCUCCCCUGCUAGAACCUCCAAACAAGCUCUCAAGAAGUCAUUAAGAGAUUCAAUUAUUUCAUAAUAUAUUAUUUGUAAGCUUGUUUAGUAUG
RNAcentral lists this small nuclear RNA (298 nucleotides) under Pongo abelii (Sumatran orangutan). Its description in RNAcentral is "7SK RNA". It matches the Rfam family "7SK RNA". From Rfam's summary of the family: 7SK was discovered as an abundant small nuclear RNA in the mid-70s but a possible function has only recently been suggested. Two independent studies have found that 7SK RNA binds the CDK9/cyclin T complex (known as elongation factor P-TEFb). P-TEFb activates transcription by phosphorylating the C-terminal domain of RNA polymerase II. The record is from Rfam by way of RNAcentral. Lineage: Eukaryota; Metazoa; Chordata; Mammalia; Primates; Hominidae.